CCCCUAGAUGUUCUGGGCCGCACGCGCGCUACACUGAACAGUUCAACAAGUCUUAACCUUGGCCGAUAGGUCUGGGUAAUCUUUGAACGCUGUUCGUGAUUGGGAUAGACCUUUGCAAUUAUGGGUCUUCAACGAGGAAUUCCUAGUAAACGCAAGUCAUCAGCUUGCAUUGAUUACGUCCCUGCCCUUUGUACACACUGCCCGUCGCACCUACCGAUUGAAUGGUCCGGUGAAAUCUCGGGACGGCGGCUUGGUCGCUUGCGUCCGACUGCUGAAACUUGAUUAAACCAUAUCAUUUAGAGGAAGGUGAAGUCGUANCA
RNAcentral lists this ribosomal RNA (320 nucleotides) under uncultured eukaryote. RNAcentral's name for it is "partial 18S ribosomal RNA". It matches the Rfam family "Eukaryotic small subunit ribosomal RNA", at positions 1470 to 1796 of the family's 1831-position model. The record is from RNAcentral.